AGAGUUUGAUCAUGGCUCAGAAUGAACGUUGGCGGCGUGGAUUAGGCAUGCAAGUCGGACGCCCCUUGGGGGCGUGGCGGAAGGGUGAGUAAGGCGACGGCAACCAACCCCGCGGAGGGGGACAGCCACGGGAAACCGUGGGUAAUCCCCCGCGACGUCGGCUCGGGACCUCCCGGGCCGACCAAAGGUGCAAGUCCGCCGCGGGACGGGCCGUCGUGGUAUCAGGUUGUUGGUGGGGUGACGGCCCACCAAGCCGACGACGCCUAGCGGGCGUGCGAGCGUGGCCCGCCACACUGGGACUGAGACACUGCCCAGACACCUACGGGUGGCUGCAGUCGAGAAUCUUCGGCAAUGGGCGCCAGCCUGACCGAGCGACGCCGCGUGGAGGACGAAGGCCUUCGGGUUGUAAACUCCUGUCGAGGGGGAACAAGGGCGGGUGCAGAGCCCGCCUUGAGUGAUCCCUGGAGGAAGCACGGGCUAAGUUCGUGCCAGCAGCCGCGGUAAGACGAACCGUGCGAACGUUAUUCGGAAUCACUGGGCUUAAAGCGCGUGUAGGCGGACGGCCGCGUCGGCAUUGAAAGCCCCCGGCUCAACCGGGGAAUCGGUGCCGAAACGGGUCGUCUGGAGGGGUGUAGGGGGAGCUGGAACUUCCGGUGGAGCGGUGAAAUGCGUUGAGAUCGGAAGGAACGCCCGUGGCGAAAGCGAGCUCCUGGACACUCACUGACGCUGAGACGCGAAAGCCAGGGGAGCGAACGGGAUUAGAUACCCCGGUAGUCCUGGCCGUAAACCAUGGGCACUGGGUAGGGGGCCGGCCGACGGCUCCCUGCCGUAGCGAAAGCGUCAAGUGCCCCGCCUGGGGAGUAUGGUCGCAAGGCUGAAACUCAAAGGAA
Molecule: ribosomal RNA, 890 nt
Filed under: uncultured bacterium
Lineage: Bacteria
Description: bacterial SSU rRNA
Rfam family: Bacterial small subunit ribosomal RNA
Source: RNAcentral